UAAAAUAUGCAAUGAGUAGGAAAAUUAAAUUUUGCAAUUAAGGGCUUAGGCAAUGGAACUGGCAGAUAAAAAAUUAAUAGGAAAGGCAGGAACAUGAAGAGCUGAAUUGAAAUUUAUAUUGAGAGUGCACCUAUACUAGAAAUUAUGGUAAAAGAAUCCCACUAUACGGACAUUUUCUUUUCUUGAGCAUAGGAAAUAGGUAGAGAAUUUAUUUG
RNAcentral lists this unclassified non-coding RNA (215 nucleotides) under Hevea brasiliensis (rubber tree). The record is from RNAcentral. Lineage: Eukaryota; Viridiplantae; Streptophyta; Magnoliopsida; Malpighiales; Euphorbiaceae.